Molecule: ribosomal RNA, 505 nt
Filed under: uncultured bacterium
Lineage: Bacteria
Description: partial 16S ribosomal RNA
Rfam family: Bacterial small subunit ribosomal RNA
Source: RNAcentral
GACGAACGCUGGCGGCGUGCCUAAUACAUGCAAGUAGAACGCACAGUUUAUACCGUAGCUUGCUACACCAUAAACUGUGAGUUGCGAACGGGUGAGUAACGCGUAGGUAACCUGCCUGGUAGCGGGGGAUAACUAUUGGAAACGAUAGCUAAUACCGCAUAAUAUUGAUUAUUGCAUGAUAAUUGAUUGAAAGAUGCUAUUGCAUCACUACCAGAUGGACCUGCGUUGUAUUAGCUAGUAGGUGAGGUAACGGCUCACCUAGGCGGCGAUACAUAGCCGACCUGAGAGGGUGAUCGGCCACACUGGGACUGAGACACGGCCCAGACUCCUACGGGAGGCAGCAGUAGGGAAUCUUCGGCAAUGGACGAAAGUCUGACCGAGCAACGCCGCGUGAGUGAAGAAGGUUUUCGGAUCGUAAAGCUCUGUUGUAAGAGAAGAACGGGUGUGAGAGUGGAAAGUUCACACUGUGACGGUAUCUUACCAGAAAGGGACGGCUAACUACGUG